RNAcentral lists this unclassified non-coding RNA (235 nucleotides) under fungal sp. RNAcentral describes it as "partial internal transcribed spacer region". The stretch from base 1 to 46 matches the Rfam family "Eukaryotic small subunit ribosomal RNA", at positions 1786 to 1831 of the family's 1831-position model. The record is from RNAcentral. Lineage: Eukaryota; Fungi.
AAGUCGUAACAAGGUAACCGUAGGUGAACCUGCGGUUGGAUCAUUAACAAAAAACUACUUUAAAGUUUCUUUUUUUUUUUAAACCAAAAAAAAAAGACUUUAAAACAUUUUGUGAACCUUUAUAAACAUUUUAAACAGUAAUUCAAAAAUUUGGCCUUUAAAACAAAAACAUUUUUGUUUUUAAAAUUUAAAUUUAUUUAAAAAACAACUUUUGACAACGGAUCUCUUGGCUCUC